Long non-coding RNA from Biomphalaria glabrata, 360 nucleotides. RefSeq lists it as uncharacterized. The transcript is spliced from 3 exons. The record is from RefSeq and is a predicted model, not a curated record. Lineage: Eukaryota; Metazoa; Mollusca; Gastropoda; Planorbidae.
GUUUAUGGAGUGUUUUUGUUAUGCUGGUGUAACGUUUGUUGAGAUUCUUCUGUGUUCCCCUGUUUAGGAAAGCAGGACCGGAUUUGAACGAUUAAAGGCCCUGAAUUUUUGUGGAGUCCUUAGACAGGAUAUUUGUGUAGGCCCUUACCUUUUCAAGCUUUCUUAAAAUGCUCGUAAUAAUGUCCAAUCUAAAAGCUUGUCAUAUUAGUGAACCAAAAGUUUUAAAGGGCAGAACUCUGACCUCAUCUCUAGGCCUGUAGCUCUUCAGACAAAUGGAACAUUCGUAAGCAGAGGUCGACUCACACUGGCUGGAUGCGUCAGCGUGUUGAACCACGGGAAUCUGGCUAAGCUCUGAGUUGG